Long non-coding RNA from Aegilops tauschii subsp. strangulata, 1706 nucleotides. RefSeq lists it as uncharacterized. Lineage: Eukaryota; Viridiplantae; Streptophyta; Magnoliopsida; Poales; Poaceae. The record is from RefSeq and is a predicted model, not a curated record.
CAUAUCCACUGAGGUAUCGAGUCCACCUCCACGUUAUGUGCACCUGCUCCCCGCAAAUAGCACGCAGCCAAGCAGAGUUGUAAAAAAGGGCAGGUCUUUCUCGCCGCCAAUUCCUCUCUCUCACCGGCCGUACUCCCCCAACCUCUCUGCUCGGAUCCUCCAGCGCAGCUACAUUCUCUGCGCCCCCUCCAUGCACCCCCGCAUCAGCCCAGUCGCCAUGGGUCACCAGACACGGCUCCCGACCGUCAUCUAAUCUGACGGCCGGACGGACCGGCGUCUCCGCACACGCGCGACUACUAGCUUGGGGUCGACGGGGCUGCUCCCUCCCCCCAGGCUACACCGACCUCGGGUAAGGCACUCAUCCCCUCUGCUCUCUUACCGUUCCCGCUGCUGACCACCUACACGACCACCGUGCCUCACGCGUGAGCCCGAGGGCGGGACACACACCAUGCACAUCACCUCCGUGCCUCUUCCCCUGGUGUCUUACUGCUGCCUCCUGCUGUUCGACACGACCGCCUGACCCUCUGCUGCGGCCGGCGGCCAACGUCGUUCCCCGAAGCGCCGCCUCGGCAUCCCUCUCCCAACCACGAUGGGGUUCUUGACUGUGCCUCCAGCUCUGCGCAGGACCAUCACGAUUGUGUGUUCCUCUCCUAAUUAAAAUCCUGAAAAUCCUCUAAGAAAUAUGCUUCCAACAACUGUUUAUAUGAUCAACUCGUCAGGAAUAGGUACACAGCAAACAACAACUUAUGGGAGCUUGGUAUUAUAUUUCUGGUCAACUCCUCUGAAAUAGUUGCAAAGGAAACAGCACGAUGUUUAUCCAAAAUGGGGAACUAUUUUUACGUAAUGGGAACCUUGACAGUUCAGUAGUUUAGUUAUUCAGGAAAAACAAAAGGACUUGGUGCUUAUACGGUUAGAAGAACUCCCUUUUCUCUUUAGUGUGCAUUUUCAAUUAAAUUAAAAGUAUAGGUGCAUGUGCAAGUUGGCUAUAUACUGCCAAUCACAAACUGAAAGGCUCAUACCUAUGAGGAAAUGACAUUGCCUAUAGGCUCAGCAUACUUAGUGCGUCAACAGGAGCAAGGAUCAUAUUGUACAUAUCUGCUAGUGAGUUGUCGAUAAAAGUACUAAAAAAAUCUCAAUUAUCAGAUGAAUAAAUAAGCUGAUAGUAGUUUUCAUGUGUUCUUGUAGUUCGAUUGCAUUUAUAUUCUGCUUUCAUGGAAGUUAACAAUGGGUUAUGUCAUAUUCAGGGGUUCUGCCUGAAGCAGUACGUAGCUUUCCAGAAUCCUUCUCGCUAGAGUCGUGUAGAAUCCAGGACAAUUUCUUCUCCCCAUCACUUUGGUGUCCUGUUAUGGAACCAAUUAUACACCAGUCUGGCGCUCAAGGCUUCCUAUACAUCAAAUGAGUGCCUACAAUGACUAGAGUUGAUAUGGCCACUCAAGAUGUUGGAUAUAUUGGUCAUGUAGCUGGCUUAGUUAUCUCAUGGCCUUCAACCUUUAUAAAUGGAUGGUGCACAGCUGAGUUGAUUGCAAGGUGGAGAAUGGGGCUGCUACCAUAUAGAUUUAAGUUAAUUUUAUAGAAUGUCAUUUUCAUGCUCAAUGUACAGAAGUCAUGUAUAUCUCAAUGUAUAGAAAUCAUGUAUAUGUAUUCUUUGGAUUGCAUUCCAUUUAAUGCAACUGACUCGAUUUAAUAUAUGAGAUCUUUCUGUUUUA